This 455-nucleotide ribosomal RNA is filed under the name uncultured bacterium. RNAcentral's name for it is "bacterial SSU rRNA". It matches the Rfam family "Bacterial small subunit ribosomal RNA", at positions 977 to 1434 of the family's 1533-position model. The record is from RNAcentral.
GGGCUUGACAUCCCACGAACCUGGAAACAUGGUCUUCCACUUCGGUGGACCGGGUGACAGGUGCUGCAUGGCUGUCGCCAGCUCGUGUCGUGAGAUGUUGGGUUAAGUCCCGCAAUGAGCGCAACCCCUGCCUUUAGUUGCCAACAUUCAGUUGGGCACUCUAGAGGGACUGCCGGUGUUAAACCGGAGGAAGGUGGGGACGACGUCAAGUCCUCAUGGCCUUUAUGCCCAGGGCUACACACGUGCUACAAUGGGCGGCACAAAGGGAAGCGACGCCGCGAGGUGUGGCAAAUCCCAAAAAACCGCUCUCAGUUCGGAUCGGAGUCUGCAACUCGACUCCGUGAAGUUGGAAUCGCUAGUAAUCGUGGAUCAGCAUGCCACGGUGAAUACGUUCCCGGGCCUUGUACACACCGCCCGUCACACCACGAAAGUCUGCUGUACUCGAAGUCGCUGAG